UAGGGAAUCUUCGGCAAUGGACGAAAGUCUGACCGAGCAACGCCGCGUGAGUGAAGAAGGUUUUCGGAUCGUAAAACUCUGUUGUUAGAGAAGAACAAGGACGUUAGUAACUGAACGUCCUCUGACGGUAUCUAACCCGAAAGCCACGGCUAACUACGUGCCAGCAGCCGCGGUAAUACGUAGGUGGCAAGCGUUGUCCGGAUUUAUUGGGCGUAAAGCGAGCGCAGGCGGUUUCUUAAGUCUGAUGUGAAAGCGCCCGGCUCAACCGGGGAGGGUCAUUGGAAACUGGGAGACUUGAGUGCAGAAGAGGGGAGUGGAAUUCGAUGUGUAGCGGUGAAAAGCGUAGAUAUAUGGAGGAACACCAGUGGCGAAGGCGGCUCUCUGGUCUGUAACUGACGCUGAGGCACGAAGGCGUGGGGAGCAAACAAG
Molecule: ribosomal RNA, 429 nt
Filed under: Gemmatimonadota bacterium
Lineage: Bacteria; Pseudomonadati; Gemmatimonadota
Description: Gemmatimonadetes bacterium partial 16S ribosomal RNA
Rfam family: Bacterial small subunit ribosomal RNA
Source: RNAcentral